GACGAACGCUGGCGGCGUGCUUAACACAUGCAAGUCGAACGGAAAGGCCUCUUUCGGGGGGUACUCGAGUGGCGAACGGGUGAGUAACACGUGAGUAACCUGCCCUUGACUUUGGGAUAACUUCAGGAAACCGGGGCUAAUACCGGAUAGGAGCUCCUGCUGCAUGGUGGGGGUUGGAAAGUUUCGGCGGUUGGGGAUGGACUCGCGGCUUAUCAGCUUGUUGGUGGGGUAGUGGCUUACCAAGGCUUUGACGGGUAGCCGGCCUGAGAGGGUGACCGGCCACAUUGGGACUGAGAGACGGCCCAGACUCCUACGGGAGGCAGCAGUGGGGAAUAUUGCACAAUGGGUGGAAGCCUGAUGCAGCAACGCCGUGUGCGGGAUGACGGCCUUCGGGUUGUAAACCGCUUUCGCUCAUGACGAAGCUUUGUGUGACGGUAGUGGGUAAAGAAGCACCGGCUAACUACGUG
Molecule: ribosomal RNA, 467 nt
Filed under: uncultured bacterium
Lineage: Bacteria
Description: partial 16S ribosomal RNA
Rfam family: Bacterial small subunit ribosomal RNA
Source: RNAcentral